CAGCCGUAAACAAUGUGCGUUAGGUGUGUCGGUAACCACGUGUUACUGAUGCGCCGAAGAGAAAUCGUGAAACGCACCACCUGGGAAGUACGGUCGCAAGGCUGAAACUUAAAGGAAUUGGCGGGGGAGCACCACAACAGGUGGAGCCUGCGGUUUAAUUGGAUUCAACGCCGGACAUCUCACCGGAUAAGACAGCUGAAUGAUCGUCAAUCUGAAGGUUUUACAUGACUAGCUGAGAGGAGGUGCAUGGCGUCAGUGACU
This 261-nucleotide ribosomal RNA is filed under the name uncultured archaeon. Its description in RNAcentral is "partial 16S ribosomal RNA". It matches the Rfam family "Archaeal small subunit ribosomal RNA", at positions 748 to 1008 of the family's 1478-position model. The record is from RNAcentral.